Molecule: ribosomal RNA, 117 nt
Filed under: Sinocyclocheilus anshuiensis
Lineage: Eukaryota; Metazoa; Chordata; Actinopteri; Cypriniformes; Cyprinidae
Source: RNAcentral
GCCGGCAGCCAUAUCACCCUGUAGCCCAAGACUGGUUGCCCACUGAAGCUAAGCAGGGCUGAGCCUGGUCAGUACCUGGAUGGGAGACCUCCCGGGAAAACUAGGUUGCUGCUGGAA